Molecule: ribosomal RNA, 382 nt
Filed under: uncultured bacterium
Lineage: Bacteria
Description: bacterial SSU rRNA
Rfam family: Bacterial small subunit ribosomal RNA
Source: RNAcentral
AUUGAACGCUGGCGGCAUGCCUUACACAUGCAAGUCGAACGGCAGCACGGGAGCAAUCCUGGUGGCGAGUGGCGAACGGGUGAGUAAUAUAUCGGAACGUGCCCAGUCGUGGGGAUAACGUAGCGAAAGCUACGCUAAUACCGCAUACUAUCUAUGGAUGAAAGCGGGGGAUCGCAAGACCUCGCGCGAUUGGAGCGGCCGAUAUCAGAUUAGGUAGUUGGUGAGGUAAAGGCUCACCAAGCCGACGAUCUGUAGCUGGUCUGAGAGGACGACCAGCCACACUGGGACUGAGACACGGCCCAGACUCCUACGGGAGGCAGCAGUGGGGAAUUUUGGACAAUGGCGCAAGCCUGAUCCAGCAAUGCCGCGUGCAGGAUGAAGG